RNAcentral lists this non-coding RNA (157 nucleotides) under Sphingomonas sp. SCN 67-18. RNAcentral's name for it is "6S RNA". It matches the Rfam family "6S / SsrS RNA". From Rfam's summary of the family: E. coli 6S RNA was the first non coding RNA to be sequenced, but its function was unknown until recently. It consists of 184 nucleotides that fold into an extended hairpin structure with a large single-stranded internal bulge. Lineage: Bacteria; Pseudomonadati; Pseudomonadota; Alphaproteobacteria; Sphingomonadales; Sphingomonadaceae. The record is from RNAcentral.
ACGGGACUGCCCGGUGCGCGCCUUUGCGAACAUCCCUGAGGCGAUUACACAUCCAUGGGGGUUGUCCCUGAGCAGGCCCUGGCCUGUCUUAUAUGGCCCCCACCUGACGUUAAAGGCGUCAGAGGAUAUUCCGGCAAACGGCCAUGGCGGUUCCGUC